This 253-nucleotide ribosomal RNA is filed under the name uncultured bacterium. RNAcentral describes it as "partial 16S ribosomal RNA". It matches the Rfam family "Bacterial small subunit ribosomal RNA", at positions 524 to 776 of the family's 1533-position model. The record is from RNAcentral.
UACGUAGGGACCAAGCGUUGUUCGGAUUUACUGGGCGUAAAGGGCGCGUAGGCGGCAAUUCAAGUCAUCUGUGAAAUCUCCGAGCUUAACUCGGAACGGUCAGAUGAUACUGCUUUGCUAGAGUGCAGAAGGGGCAAUCGGAAUUCUUGGUGUAGCGGUGAAAUGCGUAGAUAUCGAGAGGAACACCUGCGGCGAAGGCGGGUUGCUGGGCUGACACUGACGCUGAAGUGCGAAAGCUAGGGGAGCGAACGGG